Molecule: long non-coding RNA, 751 nt
Organism: Oncorhynchus tshawytscha (Chinook salmon)
Lineage: Eukaryota; Metazoa; Chordata; Actinopteri; Salmoniformes; Salmonidae
Source: Ensembl
UAAAGCCCUCUUCCUCCCCAGACAACCCACCCAUGGUCCUCACUGAGGUAAACGGCUCUCUUCCUCCCCAGACAACCCCCCAUGGUCCUCACUGAGGUAAACACCUCACCGCCCUCUUCCUCUGACACCCCCCCAUGGUCCUCACUGAGGUAAACAGCUCUCUUCCUCCCCAGACAACCCCCCAUGGCCGUAAACAUCAGCUGGUGUGUAAACUCUGGUUCUUGGUAGGGGCUGUUGAUUCAGCCCCCCUCUGUUGAGGGAGGGGCAGUUGAUUCAGCCCCCCUCUGUUGGCAGGAGGGGCAGUUGAUUCAGCCCCCCUCUGUUGGCGGUAGGGGCUGUUGAUUCAGCCCCCCUCUGUUGGCGGUAGGGGCUGUUGAUUCAGCCCCCCUCUGUUGGAGGAAGUGGCAGUUGAUUCAGCCCCCCUCUGUUGGCGGUAGGGGCAGUUGAUUCAGCCCCCCUCUGUUGGAGGUAGGGGCAGUUGAUUCGGCUGCGCUGAGUGCGUUCCCAUUUUGAACCACUUCAUGUGUCUGAAGGUACAAACUCCGCCUAGCCGCCUGGCCCAGAGAACAAAUCAAGUGCACUUUUUGGCCUACCUCUGGCCAAUCCGAUAGCUCAGAUCAUGGUGUCUGCAGCCUCCAGCAGCCCACAGUGAGAGGAUGAGAGACUGUCAGCGAAUACAGCCGCUGUUUUUAGGACUUGAUGUUUCAACGUCGUCUUCAGCGCUGUCAACACUUUAUUCACCCUUGUUGCC